This 413-nucleotide ribosomal RNA is filed under the name uncultured Lactococcus sp. RNAcentral describes it as "bacterial SSU rRNA". It matches the Rfam family "Bacterial small subunit ribosomal RNA", at positions 356 to 762 of the family's 1533-position model. The record is from RNAcentral. Lineage: Bacteria; Bacillati; Bacillota; Bacilli; Lactobacillales; Streptococcaceae.
UAGGAAUCUUCGGCAAUGGACGAAAGUCUGACCGAGCAACGCCGCGUGAGUGAAGAAGGUUUUCGGAUCGUAAAACUCUGUUGGUAGAGAAGAACGUUGGUGAGAGUGGAAAGCUCAUCAAGUGACGGUAACUACCCAGAAAGGGACGGCUAACUACGUGCCAGCAGCCGCGGUAAUACGUAGGUCCCGAGCGUUGUCCGGAUUUAUUGGGCGUAAAGCGAGCGCAGGUGGUUUAUUAAGUCUGGUGUAAAGGCAGUGGCUCAACCAUUGUAUGCAUUGGAAACUGGUAGACUUGAGUGCAGGAGAGGAGAGUGGAAUUCCAUGUGUAGCGGUGAAAUGCGUAGAUAUAUGGAGGAACACCGGUGGCGAAAGCGGCUCUCUGGCCUGUAACUGACACUGAGGCUCGAAAGCGU